RNAcentral lists this ribosomal RNA (253 nucleotides) under uncultured bacterium. RNAcentral describes it as "partial 16S ribosomal RNA". It matches the Rfam family "Bacterial small subunit ribosomal RNA", at positions 524 to 776 of the family's 1533-position model. The record is from RNAcentral.
UACGAAGGGUGCAAGCGUUACUCGGAAUCACUGGGCGUAAAGCGUGCGUAGGCGGUUGGUUAAGUCUGCUGUGAAAGCCCUGGGCUCAACCUGGGAACUGCAGUGGAUACUGGCCAGCUAGAGUGUGAUAGAGGAUGGUGGAAUUCCCGGUGUAGCGGUGAAAUGCGUAGAGAUCGGGAGGAACACCAGUGGCGAAGGCGGCCAUCUGGAUCAACACUGACGCUGAGGCACGAAAGCGUGGGGAGCAAACAGG